AGUUCGGUGGUGUAAUGGAAGCAUCGGAGGCUCCAACCCUCAAGGUGCGGGUUCGAGUCCUGCCCGAACUG
RNAcentral lists this transfer RNA (71 nucleotides) under Bacteroidia bacterium. RNAcentral describes it as "tRNA-Trp". It matches the Rfam family "tRNA". From Rfam's summary of the family: Transfer RNA (tRNA) molecules are approximately 80 nucleotides in length. Their secondary structure includes four short double-helical elements and three loops (D, anti-codon, and T loops). Further hydrogen bonds mediate the characteristic L-shaped molecular structure. tRNAs have two regions of fundamental functional importance: the anti-codon, which is responsible for specific mRNA codon recognition, and the 3' end, to which the tRNAs corresponding amino acid is attached (by aminoacyl-tRNA synthetases). tRNAs cope with the degeneracy of the genetic code in two manners: having more than one tRNA (with a specific anti-codon) for a particular amino acid; and 'wobble' base-pairing, i.e. permitting non-standard base-pairing at the 3rd anti-codon position. The record is from RNAcentral. Lineage: Bacteria; Pseudomonadati; Bacteroidota; Bacteroidia.